RNAcentral lists this ribosomal RNA (468 nucleotides) under uncultured bacterium. RNAcentral's name for it is "bacterial SSU rRNA". It matches the Rfam family "Bacterial small subunit ribosomal RNA", at positions 61 to 524 of the family's 1533-position model. The record is from RNAcentral.
GUCGAACGGCAGCACGGAGCUUGCUCUGGUGGCGAGUGGCGAACGGGUGAGUAAUAUAUCGGAACGUACCCUAGAGUGGGGGAUAACGUAGCGAAAGUUACGCUAAUACCGCAUACGAUCUAAGGAUGAAAGUGGGGGAUCGCAAGACCUCAUGCUCGUGGAGCGGCCGAUAUCUGAUUAGCUAGUUGGUAGGGUAAAAGCCUACCAAGGCAUCGAUCAGUAGCUGGUCUGAGAGGACGACCAGCCACACUGGAACUGAGACACGGUCCAGACUCCUACGGGAGGCAGCAGUGGGGAAUUUUGGACAAUGGGCGAAAGCCUGAUCCAGCAAUGCCGCGUGAGUGAAGAAGGCCUUCGGGUUGUAAAGCUCUUUUGUCAGGGAAGAAACGGUGGGAGCUAAUAUCUCUUGCUAAUGACGGUACCUGAAGAAUAAGCACCGGCUAACUACGUGCCAGCAGCCGCGGUAAU